AUCUAGCCCUGAUAGCAGCGGAAAUCCUUGAUUGCCGGUGUUCGGCAAGCAAGAUUGAAGUGAAUAGCGGAUGGUAAU
RNAcentral lists this small RNA (78 nucleotides) under Flavobacterium micromati. RNAcentral describes it as "Flavo-1 RNA". It matches the Rfam family "Flavo-1 RNA". Lineage: Bacteria; Pseudomonadati; Bacteroidota; Flavobacteriia; Flavobacteriales; Flavobacteriaceae. The record is from Rfam by way of RNAcentral.